UGGGGGCGCAAGCCCCCAAUGUAAUUACGAUAAAUUCAGCUUACUACCCUUUGAACGCGUUUAGGCUAUCUAGCUGCGCUGAGCAAAAAUAGUUCCAAUAUUUUGCCAUAAUAUUCAGAUCAUCAUUAUACCGUAUCUAUUUUGAAAUUGACUGGUCAUUUUAUUACUAAAUUUUAAAUCCUUUUAUCACAAAAUUACAUAUACCAUUGCUUUACGCGAUUUGAAUAUUACUACGCUAGCAGUCGAUAAAAAUUUAAUGAGAACCAGUUAAUUUGUUCUACCUUCUGGUUCCCGAUGCACGAGAGCCAAAGUACUUGCAUACAUUUGGUGCCAAUUUUAUCAAGUCAUGAAUUAACUAACUAUCAUAGAACACAAUAAUUCAGGAAAAAUGAAAUACGAUUUUCAUAUUAGAUAACUUUCAAGCUUAAAAUGGUUAAAAAGUGUGAAUGACAGAGUAAAAAUUUGUAUGCGUAUGAAUACGAACUAUAUUCCCUCUGACGUCAUUUUCCCGAAAUCGCCAUCUUGGUCAGUUAUUCCGAGAAAAGGCUGAGAAGAUUUGCUAUCAAUUACGAAGUCCCAGCUAUUACGUUGAUAUUUUGGUUGCAAUCUAUUCCAUCUUGGUGUAUUGUCUUCAUACUUGGCCACAACAACCCUUCAAAUAGACCAGACUAACUUGACCUCCAUAUAAACAUUCAAGAUGUUCGGCCUACAUGUCAGAUUUGUGAAUGUGAACGGCAGGAUAUCGAGUUUAAGGAUGCUUUAGGGUCAAUGAGAAUGAAAUCAAGAGAGAUAAAGGCUAAAAUGUGAGACUGUCAAUCUGACAAACCUUGCAGUGAAUAAAUGGUAAAAUGUUUCUUUCAGUAGCAUGGCAUUUAAGGAAGCGGUAC
Ruditapes philippinarum (Manila clam) is the source of this 887-nucleotide long non-coding RNA. RefSeq lists it as uncharacterized. The transcript has 3 exons. Lineage: Eukaryota; Metazoa; Mollusca; Bivalvia; Venerida; Veneridae. The record is from RefSeq and is a predicted model, not a curated record.